Molecule: ribosomal RNA, 487 nt
Filed under: uncultured bacterium
Lineage: Bacteria
Description: bacterial SSU rRNA
Rfam family: Bacterial small subunit ribosomal RNA
Source: RNAcentral
GAUGAACGCUAGCGGCAGGCAUAAUACAUGCAAGUUGAACGGGAUUCAGAUAGCAAUAUUUGAUGAGAGUGGCGCGCGGGUGCGUAACACGUAUGCAACUUACCUUAAACUGGGAGAUAGCCCGUGGAAACAUGGAUUAAUAUCCCAUAGUAUAAAGAACAGGCAUUUGUUUUUUAUUAAAGCUCCGGCGGUUUAAGAUGGGCAUGCGCGUCAUUAGCUAGAUGGAGAGGUAACGGCUCACCAUGGCAACGAUGACUAGGGGGUCUGAGAGGAUGUCCCCCCACACUGGUACUGAGACACGGACCAGACUCCUACGGGAGGCAGCAGUAGGGAAUAUUGGGCAAUGGACGCAAGUCUGACCCAGCCAUGCCGCGUGCAGGAAGACGGCCCUCUGGGUUGUAAACUGCUUUUAUCAGGGAAGAAACCCUUCUACGUGUAGGAGGCUGACGGUACCUGAGGAAUAAGGAUCGGCUAACUCCGUGCCAGC